This 403-nucleotide ribosomal RNA is filed under the name uncultured bacterium. Its description in RNAcentral is "partial 16S ribosomal RNA". It matches the Rfam family "Bacterial small subunit ribosomal RNA", at positions 29 to 526 of the family's 1533-position model. The record is from RNAcentral.
AUCGAACGCUGGCGGCAGGCCUAACACAUGCAAGUCGAGCGAGCGGCGGACGGGUGAGUAAUGUAUGGGGACUGCCCGAUAGAGGGGGAUAACUACUGGAAACGGUAGAUAAUACCGCAUACUAUCGGAUAACCCAUAUGGGACGAGCUAGUAGGGGAGGUAAUGGCUCACCUAGGCGACGAUCCACAGCUGGUCUGAGAGGAUGCUCAGCCACACUGGGACUUAGAGACGGCCCAGACGCCUACGGAGGCAGCAGGGGGGAAUAUUGGACAAUGGGGGCAAGUCUGAUGCAGCCAUGCCGCGUGUAUGAAGAAGGCCCUAGGGUUGUAAAGUACUUUCAGUCGGGAGGCGUUACCGACAGAAGAAGCACCGGCUAACUCCGUGCCAGCAGCCGCGGUAAUAC